AGAAUCAACGCUGGCGGCGUGCCUAACACAUGCAAGUCGAACGGGAAAGUGGAGCAAUCCAUGAGUAUAGUGGCGACCGGGUGAGUAACACGUGACUACCUACCCUUGAGUGGGGGAUAACCUCGGGAAACCGAGGCUAAUACCGCAUAACAUCGAAAGAUCAAAGGAGUAAUCCGCUUUUGGAGGGGUCGCGGCUGAUUAGCUAGUUGGUAAGGUAAUGGCUUACCAAGGCGAAGAUCGGUA
RNAcentral lists this ribosomal RNA (243 nucleotides) under uncultured bacterium. RNAcentral describes it as "partial small subunit ribosomal RNA". It matches the Rfam family "Bacterial small subunit ribosomal RNA", at positions 26 to 285 of the family's 1533-position model. The record is from RNAcentral.